GAACUAACUUUGUUUAGGUAGUAAAUCGUUGUAUGUAUUUAUUUAUUUAGAUUCCUAAAUCGCCUGGCGCUUAACUAUGUGGGUUGAGUUUGUCUGUGAGCGUGCGCGCGCCGCCGGUAGUCGGUGUCGUGGAGUUCCCGCGCGUCUCGCGCUGCUGAUGUUGACGAACCCUGAAGAACUGACACAUCAUUCACACCGAGUCGCAGACCCUCUUGAGCUUUUAACAAGAAAUCACGGAGACUUGGACUUCAGAACAGGUGAUCUGUAUUCUGAUUGGCUGCAGGUUGGUUAUGAGGGUCCUUAUAUCAGAAAGAUUUCCAUCACUCAAGAUUCGAUGGUUCGUGGGAGCUAAUGCAUGCGGGACAGCGAUUUGUGUGCAGAGCGUGCGGGUCGGAGUCUCAUAUCUGUAGAGAGGAAGAGAGGUCAGAGGUCAUGCUCGGGGGGCCGUGAGCUGGUAUCAUGUUUCAGGUGGGAUAUUGUAUGUUUUCAGAGGCAGUCAACUUUUUCAGAGUGCUCUGCCUCACUGAUCCCAAGACAGAGGUCGAAGGUCAUGUUCAGAGGUCUUGACCUCCAGUGGAAUGCCUGUGUGGGGGUUGUUAUCAGGAUCCAUUUGCGUUUUUUUUUUUUUUUGAGACAUGCAGGUGUAAAAACAGUCGAGGUUUUAUGUCCAGACUGAAAAAUUGUGUGGGUAUGUUUAUGUUAUUAUGUGAUUUGCUUAAUUUCUUUUGUGAAAUUGGUGCAUAAAUGACACUAUCAGUGGCUACAAUUAAUUAUUAGGGAAUUCCCCAUUGUUUAUAAGCAGAUAUAUAUUUUUUACUUAAAGGUACAGGUUGUGCCACUAGAGGGCGCACUAUCAAAACAAUAACAAUCGCGUGGUUUGAUGAUGCUAAGAAGGAGCGUGGAAUGAUGGGAUUUGUUGUCUUCUACCGAACCGCUGAAGGCCAUCAAUCAGACGGGAAGAUAAAUCAUGGAUUUAAUGCGAGUUCAACGAUUUGUGCGAGUAGAUUACAUACAAAGUCAAUGCAAAGACGCGAUUAGACGAUGGAUCAGACGUGUCCUCACGCGGGUCUAGAGAUGCGAUGCCCCACGUCUGGCGUGUAUGCCCCAUAAUACUAAUCUUGUCGAUCAUUAUAAUAGCAUAUGUUUUCUGUAAAGAUACUAAUCAAAACAACUCACCUGUCGAGUAAAACACAAGCGAGAUCGGCAUCUCUUUCUAGAUGAAGUUUGUCGCGAAGCUAUUUCCGCAUUUGUCCACGACACUGUUGUCAUGUGGUUUCUACGUCAGUAAAGGCGGUAAAAAGGGGUAACUAACGUCAUUGACAGGCGACUGCACUGUCCCGUGUCACUGUUUAGAAUGGGAAUUUUCUCAUGAUUUACAAGUAGUUGAAAACAUUAGAGAUAUUGUUAGUUAAUCAGCUGGACAAAAUAUAUAACAUUAGCCUAGUGGUUUUGGGAUAUUUUACUGCAAAUAUCUUACAAAUUAUACCUUUAACAGUAUUAAUAUAAAUAAAAAUGCUUAGUUCCCGUUUUUGAAUUUAGAGCAUUGUCACUAGUAAUUUAAUGAAAAAGUUCAGUGCAACUCUCAGUUUUUAAUAAAAUUGUAAUACAGUAGUUUAAUUUUAAAAGUAUUUUUUCAGCCAUUUAUGAGCUAUUAAAUUGAUCAGCUAUUUAUGAAAUUUUAAAAUCUCACAAUUCAGAAUUACAAGAUAUAAAUUUGUAAUUCAUCAAUUGAAUCAACAAACAGAACUAACAAAUAUUGCUACAAGUGUGACUGCAUCAUAUAAUAAUUAUUAAUGAAUAAUAUUAAUAAUGUUCAUCGUCUGGCUGACUAUGUCUUGUAUUAAUUUUUCUAAAAAUCCUGUCAAACGUGCACAAACUGACAGUCACCACUUAUAAGCUACUACUGAAUAUUGUAGAAACAUAAUUUUCUGUAAAGUUGCUUUGUAACGAUUUGUAUUGUAAAAAGCACUAUACAAAUAAACUUGAAUUCUAAAAAAAAGAAAUUCGUAAGAUAUAAACUCAUUACUGUAAGGAAAAAAGUGGUUUGUUUGAGGAAAAACAAAUCUGACACGUAGUCAGAAUUCUGAGAAAAAAAGGUCAAAAUAAUAAACUCAAAAUUCAAAGAAAAUAGUCAAAAUUAUGAGAUGAAAAUUCAGAUAUCUAAGAAAAAUGUUGGGAGUUGUAAACCCGCAGUUACGAGUUUAGAACUUGCAAUUGCAAAAGUUUGCAAGUUCUUGCAAGUUCUUGCACAAUUAGCAUUUUAAUUCUUAUUGAUCAAAAGCUUCCAUAGUUUUCAGCCAUAUCGAUAAAUUGAAUGGGUUAUUGAAGUUAGCCAAAAUGUUAAUAUCAGUGCAGCCUUAAUAUCCAUACCAGCUCAUCGUGAACAAAGCUAUUUCA
Long non-coding RNA from Carassius auratus (goldfish), 2397 nucleotides. NCBI's taxonomy places the organism in Eukaryota, Metazoa, Chordata, Actinopteri, Cypriniformes, Cyprinidae. The record is from Ensembl.